This 433-nucleotide ribosomal RNA is filed under the name uncultured bacterium. Its description in RNAcentral is "partial 16S ribosomal RNA". It matches the Rfam family "Bacterial small subunit ribosomal RNA", at positions 29 to 507 of the family's 1533-position model. The record is from RNAcentral.
AACGAACGCUGGCGGCAGGCCUAACACAUGCAAGUCGAGCGAGGACUUCGGUCCUAGCGGCGGACGGGUGAGUAACGCGUGGGAACGUGCCCUUUGCUUCGGAAUAGCCCUGGGAAACUGGGAGUAAUACCGGAUGAGCCCUUUGGGGGAAAGAUUUAUCGGCGAAGGAUCGGCCCGCGUUGGAUUAGGUAGUUGGUGGGGUAAUGGCCUACCAAGCCGACGAUCCAUAGCUGGUUUGAGAGGAUGAUCAGCCACACUGGGACUGAGACACGGCCCAGACUCCUACGGGAGGCAACAGUGGGGAAUCUUAGACAAUGGGGGAAACCCUGAUCUAGCCAUGCCGCGUGAGCGAUGAAGGCCUUAGGGUUGUAAAGCUCUUUCAGCUGGGAAGAUAAUGACGGUACCAGCAGAAGAAGCCCCGGCUAACUCCGUG